GCCUGGAUAGCUCAGUUGGCUAGAGUGUGGUGCUGAUAAUGCCAAAGUUGCAGGUUUGAUUCCUGCACUACAGGGGGUUGGACU
Podarcis lilfordi (Lilford's wall lizard) is the source of this 84-nucleotide non-coding RNA. The record is from the annotation of a GenBank genome assembly. NCBI's taxonomy places the organism in Eukaryota, Metazoa, Chordata, Lepidosauria, Squamata, Lacertidae.